Molecule: unclassified non-coding RNA, 223 nt
Filed under: Hevea brasiliensis (rubber tree)
Lineage: Eukaryota; Viridiplantae; Streptophyta; Magnoliopsida; Malpighiales; Euphorbiaceae
Source: RNAcentral
ACUCUUUCUUCAACCUAAAUCCUUUAAUUCUUACUAAAUGAAAUGUUAGCUUGAAAUAUCUAGGGCCUAGGGGCAUUUUCACACUUUGCUUUGUUGGUUCACACUUCACAAUAAUGGAAAUAAAUCAUAGAUUCAAUGUCUCUAUUUGAUGUAUAUGUGCUCAUUAGUUAGUUGUACUUUUCAAAUUUUUUUAUAAACUCCUUUAAUAUUUAUUCAUUUUAUG